GACGAACGCUGGCGGCGUGCUUAACACAUGCAAGUCGAACGGAAAGGCCCUGCUUUUGUGGGGUGCUCGAGUGGCGAACGGGUGAGUAACACGUGAGUAACCUGCCCUUGACUUUGGGAUAACUUCAGGAAACUGGGGCUAAUACCGGAUAGGAGCUCCUGCUGCAUGGUGGGGGUUGGAAAGUUUCGGCGGUUGGGGAUGGACUCGCGGCUUAUCAGCUUGUUGGUGGGGUAGUGGCUUACCAAGGCUUUGACGGGUAGCCGGCCUGGGGGGGUGACCGGCCACAUGGGGACGGGGGAACGGCCCAGCCCCCUACGGGGGGCAGGAGGGGGGAAUAUUGCAAAAGGGGGGGAAGCCUGAUGCAGCAACCCCGCGGGGGGGAUGACGGCCUUCGGGUUGUAAACCGCUUUCGCCUGUGCCGAAGCGGGGGUGACGGUAAUGGGUAAAGAAGCCCCGGCUAACUACGG
Molecule: ribosomal RNA, 467 nt
Filed under: uncultured bacterium
Lineage: Bacteria
Description: partial 16S ribosomal RNA
Rfam family: Bacterial small subunit ribosomal RNA
Source: RNAcentral